CCCCUCUCGGGGUCACACCUUGAGAGUUUUCAGUCCUCUACCAGUCUCGGCUACGGGAGGGAGAGUCUAGCAGGUGCAUCCCCAUUCCAUUCCUAGCUUGGGCAGUGGCUAGCGGGUGGAAGACCAUCUGCUACAAGU
Ornithorhynchus anatinus (platypus) is the source of this 138-nucleotide small nucleolar RNA. The record is from RefSeq and is a predicted model, not a curated record. NCBI's taxonomy places the organism in Eukaryota, Metazoa, Chordata, Mammalia, Monotremata, Ornithorhynchidae.